RNAcentral lists this ribosomal RNA (514 nucleotides) under Limosilactobacillus reuteri. Its description in RNAcentral is "bacterial SSU rRNA". It matches the Rfam family "Bacterial small subunit ribosomal RNA", at positions 32 to 503 of the family's 1533-position model. Lineage: Bacteria; Bacillati; Bacillota; Bacilli; Lactobacillales; Lactobacillaceae. The record is from RNAcentral.
AACGCCGCGGUGUGCCUAAUACAUGCAAGUCGUACGCACUGGCCCAACUGAUUGAUGGUGCUUGCACCUGAUUGACGAUGGAUUACCAGUGAGUGGCGGACGGGUGAGUAACACGUAGGUAACCUGCCCCGGAGCGGGGGAUAACAUUUGGAAACAGAUGCUAAUACCGCAUAACAACAAAAGCCACAUGGCUUUUGUUUGAAAGAUGGCUUUGGCUAUCACUCUGGGAUGGACCUGCGGUGCAUUAGCUAGUUGGUAAGGUAACGGCUUACCAAGGCGAUGAUGCAUAGCCGAGUUGAGAGACUGAUCGGCCACAAUGGAACUGAGACACGGUCCAUACUCCUACGGGAGGCAGCAGUAGGGAAUCUUCCACAAUGGGCGCAAGCCUGAUGGAGCAACACCGCGUGAGUGAAGAAGGGUUUCGGCUCGUAAAGCUCUGUUGUUGGAGAAGAACGUGCGUGAGAGUAACUGUUCACGCAGUGACGGUAUCCAACCAGAAAGUCACGGCUAACUA